GAGAAGGAGCUGCCUCUCCUUUCACCAGAAGACAGACCAGGACUAGAUGUUGGCGGUCCUCAGCAGACCUUGCAUUUUACCUUUUCUAAGGACCAGGCUGCAAUCCACAAACCACACAGCUGAGGGAAAGAUUGGUGGAGAUGGAAACGGAAAUCGAGAGAUUUAGAACACAGAAUGCAGCUCUAGCAAAUCUAUGCCAAGAAAAAGACUUGGAAAGCCUGAGGAAGGAGAUAGCUGACUUUGAAAAGAAAAAGGCAGAAGAGUUGGUACGACUGGAAGAAUACAAAAAAGAGGAAAUGAGAAAACUGCAAAAGGAACGCAACAUUUUUGAGAAGCAUUCUACUGCAGCUCGAGCAAUCCCUGACAAAAAGGAACGACAGGAAAUGCGGAGAUGGGAGCAAAAUUAUUGAAUUCAACAACGGGCAAAGAGAACUGCAUACCCCAGAGUACAAGGGAAGAGAGUACCCAGAUGGAACUGUGAAGACUGUAUUCCAAUGGCCAACAAGAAACUAAAUACCUUACUGGCAGAGUAAGGAGCAAAGACAAAGAUGGAAAUAUCAUAAUGGACACAAACAUAGCAACAUGGCCUUCUGAAGUUUGUUCAAAGCUUACAUGAAUUUCAAGGUGCUCGCCCGUUUCUAUUAAAAAUAUUUAACAAAAGCAGAGGCUGAUUGAUGCCUUAGGUUGCAAGUGGAAAUGUUA
This is a long non-coding RNA of Polyodon spathula (Mississippi paddlefish), 702 nucleotides long. RefSeq lists it as uncharacterized. The transcript is spliced from 4 exons. NCBI's taxonomy places the organism in Eukaryota, Metazoa, Chordata, Actinopteri, Acipenseriformes, Polyodontidae. The record is from RefSeq and is a predicted model, not a curated record.